Molecule: long non-coding RNA, 1520 nt
Organism: Diceros bicornis minor
Lineage: Eukaryota; Metazoa; Chordata; Mammalia; Perissodactyla; Rhinocerotidae
Exons: 7
Source: RefSeq, a predicted model, not a curated record
CACAUGUCUCCCCAGACCUCCCCUUCUGGGCCCUCAUCCUCAUCUGCUUGGCGGGACUCCUGGUGCUCAUCACAGGCCUGAUCUGCUGUGUCCUGGAUGCAGACCUGAAAAUGAGGCUCAGAGCGGCAGUGACUUACCAAAGAUCACACAUCUGGGACCUAGAGAAGUUCUGACUGAGCUGCACCCAGGAGAUGGUCGGGGAGCUGGUGGAUGGUUUCCAGUUUGCCAUCUCCCUGAAGUGGACACAGGUGCACCAGUCCAUCAAUGACCAGGGCUGGUCUGAGGUGAGUGUGGGUGCCGAGGGGUUUUCACACCCAGGACCCUGAGAUGAUCAAGGCAGUACUAGAAUCCAGACUCAAAUAUGAGAUUCCCCUGGGACCCGGUGCCCCAGAAUUUUCUCACUACAGUGCCCCACAGUCCCACUCCCAAAGAAAUCUGGACUUCCACUCCUCCCCACAAGCUACACAGGAGGGUAGAGUGUCACCUCAGUCCUCCUGGUGGUUCACCAUGAUGUCACUGACUGUAUGUUCCUCCUCCUCUCCCCCAGUGUGAGGAUGAGUCCACUGUGAAUCUAAAUGAGGCCUGCAGGAUGCGUGCCCUCCAGGCAGGCGUGAUGGAGAAGCUGACAGAGUCCAUGGCACCAGCUUUCCUGAGGAGGAACAUCUCCAGCUUCACCACCUUCAUGGUCAACUACUCGGCCUCAGACACAUCCCACCAGGUCCUGGACCAGCUGUUUACUAGGUCCUGUCCUCCAUCGUACAUCCCAAGUGAUGCCCUGAUAGCCUGCUUUACAUCUGGAGGCAUCUUUCCUUGUUCCAGCCAGGAGGGCAGAGCGCAGGACCAUCUGAAAACUACCAUCUCCAGAGCUCCCUCCAGCUCCAGAGACAGAGCAAGGGCCAGCUCCACGGCUAGAUCCAGCUCCAGCUCUAGUUGCACCACCUGUGCUAGAGCUGGAGCCAGUGUCACCUCCAUCAGUCCCUCCAGGGCCAGAGCCACCACCAACAUCAGCUCCAGCCCCAGUGCCAGCUCCUGAGCUGGAGCCAGCUGGACCAUUGGCUCCAGGGAGAAUCCUCCCUCCACCUGGAGAGAUAACAGCAGAGCCAGAUCCAGCCCCAGAGCCCGCCUGCCCCUGGGACGUGACCACAAAGAACCUGCUGAGGGAGGAAAAGCCUGACUUCUUCUAGUUCCCUCCCCGGCUGGUGGCAGAGCAGUUGACACUGAUGGAUGUGGAGCUCUUCAAGAAAGUGAUGCCCCACGACUUCCUGGACUCCAUCUGGAACCAGUGUGACAACAGGGGCAAUGAGCACCUGGCACCCACCAUCCGUGCCACCAAAACCCACUUUAACAGAGUGGUCGAAUGUGUCGUCACCACCUGCGUUGGGGACCUGAGCAUGAUGGCCCAGGACAGGGCCAGGGUGGUGGAGCUCUGGAUCCAGGUGGCCAAGGAAGAACUGUACAAAACUUAAAAAGUUGAUGAAAACAAGCCAGCGGGAGAGCAGGAAGAUGCUCAAGGAGGUGAG